Molecule: small nucleolar RNA, 78 nt
Organism: Myotis lucifugus (little brown bat)
Lineage: Eukaryota; Metazoa; Chordata; Mammalia; Chiroptera; Vespertilionidae
Product: small nucleolar RNA R38
Source: Ensembl
CGGAGCUGAGGAUGAUUUAAAGUUAUCCCUGUCGGAAAGGGCUUCCUCUGUGAAGAGUUCUGACCUGCUGAGGCUCAG